This 94-nucleotide ribosomal RNA is filed under the name Triticum sp. US:3560552. RNAcentral's name for it is "partial 5.8S ribosomal RNA". It matches the Rfam family "5.8S ribosomal RNA", at positions 66 to 154 of the family's 154-position model. Rfam says of the family: 5.8S ribosomal RNA (5.8S rRNA) is a component of the large subunit of the eukaryotic ribosome. The record is from RNAcentral. Lineage: Eukaryota; Viridiplantae; Streptophyta; Magnoliopsida; Poales; Poaceae.
UGUGAAUUGCAGAAUCCCGCGAACCAUCGAGUCUUUGAACGCAAGUUGCGCCCGAGGCCACUCGGCCGAGGGCACGCCUGCCUGGGCGUCACGC